UCGUGGCAAACGCGAUUGAGGAGAGGUUGGUGAGCUCCUAAGGAAGGCACAUACUCAGCUUUGCCAUUUGUUGGUUUUAUUCAUGCAGUUUCAGUACUGCUGAAACCAGACUUCAUCCUGUCACUGAUCCCACUCCAGCUGGUUGUGUUCUCCCUGCUGACUCUGAGCCUGUAUAGGUAACAUGGAUUACAUUGAGGAGUUUCUAGAGAUGCUGAUUGAAGAAAUGAUCAGUUUCAGCUAAACCUUGAGUUUGACUUCAAGAUCAUCAAUAUCUCAGCCAUUAUAAUGUACCCUGUUCCCUGACUAAUCAUUAUCCAACUAAACCUGAAACAAUACUACAAGAACGAUGGUCAGAAAACUCACUUCAGUUCUCACAAGCACAACCGGACUCAUUCAGUACAAAUGACUCAUAAUGAUGAACAAGAACUACAGGUCUGUUCACAAACCAGACAUACUCUCACAAGUGUUCAACACAAGCACUUCAUACAAAACUCAGUUAAUCAUGUGAAUAUGCUAAAGCUAUGAGUACCUCCUCUUUUCCAUAUAGCUCAUUCUUCAGUCUUUUUCCCCAGUGAAUGCACACUGUUACUUUCACUCAAAAAAUCUUCUUGUGAAUUAUAAAUUAGUCUAAAUAAUCUCUCAGAUUUACACUGAAGGAAGAGCUGGAGACAUAUCUAGAAAACCGAAUAACUCUUUUGAGCCAGUCAGAAUGCAGCACCCCAUAUGGAUAUCUGAUGUUCAGUAUGGCCAUGUAUGAGCUUAUAUACAAAAUUAUAUCAAAAGCUUGAACAUACAAUUACAUUAAGAGCAAGUGCUGUGUACAGGUUGAGCUUUAUAUACUGACAGAAUUGUUCUUUAACUACAGUACCUGUCACAAGCACACAUAGAUCAGAAAAACAGGCUGAAUAACCUGGAGCCACAACAGCAGUUCAUAAACUGCCCAUCCUUCAACUCCAAAUCUGAUCGCUUAUUUUUAAUAUUGGUGUUUUUUUUAUAUAUUCUAGUUUCACAUGCCCAAUUUUUUUUUUACUUGCAUGUGACAUCGUGAAGUAAUUUACAAGAAAAUAAUUUUCAACAUUUACAAGGAAUGUUUUGCAUAUUAACCCUUUGUUGGGCACUCAUUGAAAUACCUCAGAAUCAUGGAGUGCUACUGAGGGUUUACAAGACUUUGUUACUAUACAUGGUUCCUUGCUUGAUAAAGCUAAUAAAUAAUUCAUUCACAUUAAAUUCAAUUAUUUUAAAAUAAAGUCAAGAUGUUCACCAGCCCACCCAAACACUCAUGCUGUCCAAAAGCCUUUUUGACAUUUUCUUUUAUGUAGUGUCUGUGUCAAUAAACCAAGGCCAAAUCUGCCUCCAUGCAAUGCCU
Molecule: non-coding RNA, 1366 nt
Organism: Danio rerio (zebrafish)
Lineage: Eukaryota; Metazoa; Chordata; Actinopteri; Cypriniformes; Danionidae
Source: RefSeq, a predicted model, not a curated record